AUGAGCAUGGACAGGGCAGUAAUUUCCGAUCUGUUGUCCGGAUAUGGCGGGAUACGUGUGUCCCCCAGUAUCCCCAGAUUUUUGAUUAAAAAGAAAGAAAAGAAUGCGGGGAUAUGGCGGGUAUGUGACACGGUUGGGAUACGGCCUGGCCCAAAAAAUAGCCUUGGCCCAAAACGGAACUCUAUAUUUUGCAUGAGUGGCACACCUCUCGACACAAAAACAAGGUGCUCCCGGGUCGCAUCCUCUCCUCGAUCGAAGCUGCCACCUCCUGGAUCGAAGCCACCACCGCCGGCGACCGCUACCUCAGCACCAACAGGCAGCAGCCUCUCCUCCCGAUGGUUUCUCAAAGAUACACAAAUUGAUGGAGGUUUGGAGGAUCUACAAGUUGCUGGAGUGAUAAUAUAUUAUGUAAUAUGCCUUUUUUCUUGA
Molecule: ribosomal RNA, 429 nt
Filed under: Triticum aestivum (bread wheat)
Lineage: Eukaryota; Viridiplantae; Streptophyta; Magnoliopsida; Poales; Poaceae
Description: partial small subunit ribosomal RNA
Source: RNAcentral